RNAcentral lists this ribosomal RNA (378 nucleotides) under uncultured bacterium. RNAcentral describes it as "bacterial SSU rRNA". It matches the Rfam family "Bacterial small subunit ribosomal RNA", at positions 28 to 407 of the family's 1533-position model. The record is from RNAcentral.
GACGAACGCUGGCGGCGUGCUUAACACAUGCAAGUCGAGCGGUAAGGCCCUUUCGGGGGUACACGAGCGGCGAACGGGUGAGUAACACGUGGGUGACCUGCCCUCAGCUCUGGGAUAAGCCUGGGAAACUGGGUCUAAUACUGGAUAUGACUCCACGGUGCAUGUCGUGGGGUGGAAAGCCUUGUGCGGCUGAGGAUGGGCCCGCGGCCUAUCAGCUUGUUGGUGGGGUGAUGGCCUACCAAGGCGACGACGGGUAGCCGGCCUGAGAGGGCGACCGGCCACACUGGGACUGAGACACGGCCCAGACUCCUACGGGAGGCAGCAGUGGGGAAUAUUGCGCAAUGGGCGGAAGCCUGACGCAGCGACGCCGCGUGGGGA